AUUGAACGCUGGCGGCAUGCCUUACACAUGCAAAUCGAACGGCAGCACGGGUGCUUGCACCUGGUGGCGAGUGGCGAACGGGUGAGUAAUACAUCGGAACGUACCUUAUCGUGGGGGAUAACGCAGCGAAAGCUGUGCUAAUACCGCAUGCGCCCUGAGGGGGAAAGCGGGGGAUCGCAAGACCUCGCGCGAUUAGAGCGGCCGAUGCCUGAUUAGCUUGUUGGUGGGGUAAAAGCCCACCAAGGCGACGAUCAGUAGCUGGUCUGAGAGGACGAUCAGCCACACUGGGACUGAGAAACGGCCCAGACUCCUACGGGAGGCAGCAGUGGGGAAUUUUGGACAAGGGGGGCAACCCUGAUCCAGCAAUGCCGCGUGAGUGAAGAAGGCCUUCGGGUUGUAAAGCUCUUUUGUCAGGGAAGAAACACCGGCUCUAACACAGUCCGGGAAUGACGGUACCUGAAGAAUAAGCACCGGCUAACUACGUGCCAGCCGCCGCAGUAA
This 501-nucleotide ribosomal RNA is filed under the name uncultured bacterium. RNAcentral describes it as "partial 16S ribosomal RNA". It matches the Rfam family "Bacterial small subunit ribosomal RNA", at positions 29 to 523 of the family's 1533-position model. The record is from RNAcentral.